AUUGAACGCUAGCGGGAGGCUUUACACAUGCAAGUCGAACGGAGUGGCGGACGGGUGAGUAAUAUAUCGGAACGUGCCCAGUAGAGGGGGAUAACUACUCGAAAGAGUGGCUAAUACCGCAUACUAUUAGAGCUGCCGAUAUCGGAUUAGCUAGUUGGUGGGGAAAAGGCUCACCAAGGCCACGAUCCGUAGCUGGUUUGAGAGGACGAACAGCCACACUGGGACUGAGACACGGCCCAGACUCCUACGGGAGGCAGCAGGGGGGAAGUUUGGAAAAUGGGGAAAACCCUGAACCAGCCAUCGCGCGGGUAGGAUGAAGGCAUUCGGGGUGUAAAGUACUUUUGGCAGAGAAGCGGUAACUGCAGAAUAAGCACCGGCUAAAUACGUGCCAGCAGCCGCGGUAAUAC
RNAcentral lists this ribosomal RNA (407 nucleotides) under uncultured bacterium. RNAcentral describes it as "partial 16S ribosomal RNA". It matches the Rfam family "Bacterial small subunit ribosomal RNA", at positions 29 to 526 of the family's 1533-position model. The record is from RNAcentral.